Molecule: transfer RNA, 53 nt
Filed under: Ardeacarus ardeae
Lineage: Eukaryota; Metazoa; Arthropoda; Arachnida; Sarcoptiformes; Pterolichidae
Description: tRNA-Ile
Source: RNAcentral
UUAGGCACAACCAAAAAGGAUUUACUUUGAUAGAGUAAAAUAUAAAGCCUAUG